CAAAGGUAGCCUACUCAGUAGUUCUUUAAUUGGGAACUUGGAUGAAAGGUUGGACAAGAAGAAACCUGUCUCUGAUGUAAAAUUUGAAUUUCACUUUUAAGUGAAAAGGCUUAAAUAAAAUAAGGGGACGAUAAGACCCUAUAAAACUUGAUAUACAAGAAAUACACCAACUUUUAAUUUUAUAGUCUAAAGAAGGGGGUGGAUAAUAUUGUUUUACUGGGGCGGUAGUUAUAUAGAAUUAGAAACUGUAAAGAAUUAUAAAUAAUAAUAAUUAGAAAAUAUGACCCUCUUCUUGGGGAUUAAAAGAUAAAGUUACUUUAGGGAUAACAGCGUUAUUUCUCUUGAGAGUCCAAAUCGACAGAGUAAGUUGCGACCUCGAUGUUGAAUCAAGAUGUUAUUCAGGUGCAGAAGCCUUGAA
This 418-nucleotide ribosomal RNA is filed under the name Exhippolysmata ensirostris. RNAcentral's name for it is "partial 16S ribosomal RNA". It matches the Rfam family "Bacterial large subunit ribosomal RNA", at positions 1951 to 2568 of the family's 2925-position model. The record is from RNAcentral. Lineage: Eukaryota; Metazoa; Arthropoda; Malacostraca; Decapoda; Hippolytidae.